This is a non-coding RNA of Ricinus communis (castor bean), 107 nucleotides long. The record is from Rfam. Lineage: Eukaryota; Viridiplantae; Streptophyta; Magnoliopsida; Malpighiales; Euphorbiaceae.
AAUCCAUGGUGUGGGCAACACCGAAACAAGUCCUUGUACCUCUCCUAGGCAUCAUACAUGCUCUCGUCUUCGAACUGCACAAAAGAAGAUAUAUCAUUUCUCAAUUU